GAAAAGAACCCCGGCGAGGGGAGUGAAAAAGAACCUGAAACCGUGUACGUACAAGCAGUGGGAGCACAGGUUUACCUGUGUGACUGCGUACCUUUUGUAUAAUGGGUCAGCGACUUAUAUUCUGUAGCAAGGUUAACCGUAUAGGGGAGCCGUAGGGAAACCGAGUCUUAACCGGGCGUUAAGUUGCAGGGUAUAGACCCGAAACCCGGUGAUCUAGCCAUGGGCAGGUUGAAGGUUGGGUAACACUAACUGGAGGACCGAACCGACUAAUGUUGAAAAAUUAGCGGAUGACCUGUGGCUGGGGGUGAAAGGCCAAUCAAACCGGGAGAUAGCUGGUUCUCCCCGAAAGCUAUUUAGGUAGCGCCUCGUGAAUUCAUCUCCGGGGGUAGAGCACUGUUUCGGCUAGGGGGCCAUCCCGGCUUACCAACCCGAUGCAAACUGCGAAUACCGGAGAAUGUUAUCACGGGAGACACACGGCGGGUGCUAACGUCCGUCGUGAAGAGGGAAACAACCCAGACCGCCAGCUAAGGUCCCAAAGUCAUGGUUAAGUGGGAAACGAUGUGGGAAGGCCCAGACAGCCAGGAUGUUGGCUUAGAAGCAGCCAUCAUUUAAAGAAAGCGUAAUAGCUCACUGGUCGAGUCGGCCUGCGCGGAAGAUGUAACGGGGCUAAACCAUGCACCGAAGCUGCGGCAGCGACGCUUAUGCGUUGUUGGGUAGGGGAGCG
This 724-nucleotide ribosomal RNA is filed under the name Salmonella enterica subsp. enterica serovar Paratyphi B var. L(+) tartrate +. Its description in RNAcentral is "partial 23S ribosomal RNA". It matches the Rfam family "Bacterial large subunit ribosomal RNA", at positions 516 to 1238 of the family's 2925-position model. The record is from RNAcentral. Lineage: Bacteria; Pseudomonadati; Pseudomonadota; Gammaproteobacteria; Enterobacterales; Enterobacteriaceae.